RNAcentral lists this ribosomal RNA (460 nucleotides) under uncultured bacterium. RNAcentral describes it as "partial 16S ribosomal RNA". It matches the Rfam family "Bacterial small subunit ribosomal RNA", at positions 338 to 795 of the family's 1533-position model. The record is from RNAcentral.
CCUACGUGAGGCAGCAGUGAGGAAUAUUGGUCAAUGGGCGUAAGCCUUAACCAGCCAAGUCGCGUGAGGGAUGAAGGUUCUAUGGAUCGUACACCUCUUUUAUCAGGGAAUAAAGUGUGGGACGUGUCCUGUUUUGUAUGUACCUUAUGAAUAAGGAUCGGCUAACUCCGUGCCAGCAGCCGCGGUAAUACGGAGGAUCCGAGCGUUAUCCGGAUUUAUUGGGUUUAAAGGGUGCGUAGGCGGCCUUUUAAGUCAGCGGGGAAAGUCUGUGGCUCAACCAUAGAAUUGCCGUUGAAACUGGGAGGCGUGAGGAUUUGUGAGGCAGGCGGAAUGCGUGGUGUAGCGGUGAAAUGCUUAGAUAUGACGCAGAACCCCGAUUGCGAAGGCAGCCUGCCAAGCCAUGACUGACGCUGAUGCACGAAAGCGUGGGGAUCAAACAGGAUUAGAUACCCCUGUAGUC